This 71-nucleotide transfer RNA is filed under the name Stegodyphus mimosarum. It matches the Rfam family "tRNA". From Rfam's summary of the family: Transfer RNA (tRNA) molecules are approximately 80 nucleotides in length. Their secondary structure includes four short double-helical elements and three loops (D, anti-codon, and T loops). The record is from Rfam by way of RNAcentral. Lineage: Eukaryota; Metazoa; Arthropoda; Arachnida; Araneae; Eresidae.
GUCUUCGUGGUGUAACGGUAGCGCACUUGGCUCGUAUUCGAGAGAUCCAGGUUCGAGUCCCAGGGAGGACA